UACAGGAUAUUUCAAAUGAGUUUGAAAAUCGACAUUCCUGUUUGCAGCCUAGUAAAAUAUAACCUUACAAGGGAUAUAUGAGUUACCCUCACCUUAAUGCUUCUAUCACAUAAUCUUAACUCUUAGUCAUCUUUUCUUCUAGAAAUUACAGAAUACAGAUCAUGCAUUACUUUUACUUCAUAUUUUAAAUAAAAAUAACAAUAUAAAUUGGUGCAUCGGAAUUCUCUCAUUUUUAAAAUUUUUUAAUACUAGCUAUUCAUGUUUAAAGUGUUAAAUGUUUGAAUGGAAAUAACAGAAAACAAAUCAAAAUAUAAAGAAAGAAGAUUCUUAAUAUAAAUAUUAACGAAGGGCAAAUACAGAGAUUCUUAGGCCCUAUAUAAACUGAGGCGAAGAUGAGAGAUUCAAAGGGGUGUCCAAAAUUUAAAUAAUGGGCUAGUUAAUUUAUAUCAAGGAUUUGUAUAUAUCUUACUUUACAAAUCCUUGUUUAUAUGAAUAACAAGAGGCUCUCAAGAGCCUGAAUCGCUCACCUUGAUUUUUUGGCAUUUAUCUUUUGUUUAAGUGUUCAAUUUCAUCGUAGUUCGUUAGUUUGGUUGGAAUUGGUUCAUUAGUUUCAAAGGAGAAGAUUUUUUAAAGUUUGAAAACAUGAUAAACAAGUUUUGUAAAAUUGUCCUUUUUGAAAUUGUCCUUAAAGGACAAUAACUCUUUAAGGGGUCAAUUGACAAUUUUGGUCAUAUGAACUUUUUUGUAAAUCUUACUUUGCUGAACAUAUUUGCUGUUCAAAGCAAUCAUCUUUAUCAUUAAUACUAUUCAAGAUAACCAAAAACUGCAAAAUUUCCUUCAAAUUACGAAUUAAGCGGCAGCAUUCCAACAAUGGGUUAUUAGAUUCAUCUGAAAAUUUCAGGGCUGAUAGAACGUUACCUUACAAACACUCUAACCCCUGUCAGAUUUGUUGAAACUGCUUUGGUUUUUGAGAUAUAAGCCAAAACAGCAUUUUACCCCGAUGUUCUAUUUUUAGCCAUGGCGGCCAUGUUUUUUGACCAAACAGAAAAUAAAACACAAACUUUAUUCUAGAUACCCUAAGGAUCAUUCAGCUUAAGUUUGGUUGGAAUUGGUUCAUUAGUUUCAGAGGAGAAGAUGUUUGAAAUAGUUUACAACAGACGGACGACGAUGACGACGACGGAGGACGCCAAGUGAUGGCUAAAGCUCACUGUUCCUUUGGAAGGGUGAGCUAAAAAACAAGCUGACUAGCAACAGAGAUCUCACUUUACAAAUCAUUGCAAGUGAGCACAAAAAAAAUCAACUGAAGGGUUAAAAUGAUGAGAUUCCAAGAUAGAAAUUAAGAUAAAGAAUUCAGUGUAUAGAACAUAUGUUUUAGUUUGUUUUAUAAAUUAUUGACUCUAAAAUUGUCAUGCACAAAGUAAAAUAACAAAAUUCUGAACUCAAAAGGAAAAUACCUUUAACAAGAGGCUGUCACAACGACAGCAAACCGGAUUUAUUAACAUUUAUUUGUGUCCUGGCAAUAUCACAAGAACCAUUACUGAUGAAUGGUGAAAGUGAAAAUCGUCAAUAUCAAAUUUGACCUCCAUUUUGUCAUCAGUAUCAACAUAUUAAAAUUUGAAAAGCUUAGAUUGAAUGGUUCAUGAGUAAAUGCAAUAAAGUGAAUGGAAACGCCAUUUAACGAUCUUUCAAGAACCAUAACUCCUGAACGGUAAAAGUCAAAAUCGUCAUUAUUAAACUUGACCUCUAUUUUGUCAUCAGUAAC
This 1762-nucleotide long non-coding RNA is filed under the name Mytilus galloprovincialis (Mediterranean mussel). The record is from RNAcentral. Lineage: Eukaryota; Metazoa; Mollusca; Bivalvia; Mytilida; Mytilidae.